UGAUCCUAGAAACGGUCAUUAUUGUUUGACAUCUACCACAGUACUCAAAAUAAUUUAUUGCUGUAAGAUGUGCAUUUUGGAGCUCCUAAGACACCGACCCCGCAGUUUCAUUCAAUUGUCAUAUUAUUUUUUGGAAAAUCAUAAUUGGUUAUCCUGGGUACUUGGAAAACUUGGUCUACUGUGGUUUGAAGAAAUUGCUGAACCUGAGGUUAAUGAAACAAUUACAGUAGUGGUCGAUAAAUAAUAUUGCAAAGGCAAAAAUUAACAUAUUAUAAACAUUACAACCCCAGUUAACAUGAAAUUUCUAUAAUUUAAAAUACAAAAAUAAUA
Aethina tumida (small hive beetle) is the source of this 330-nucleotide long non-coding RNA. RefSeq lists it as uncharacterized. The transcript has 3 exons. NCBI's taxonomy places the organism in Eukaryota, Metazoa, Arthropoda, Insecta, Coleoptera, Nitidulidae. The record is from RefSeq and is a predicted model, not a curated record.